RNAcentral lists this transfer RNA (71 nucleotides) under Loxodonta africana (African savanna elephant). It matches the Rfam family "tRNA". Rfam says of the family: Transfer RNA (tRNA) molecules are approximately 80 nucleotides in length. Lineage: Eukaryota; Metazoa; Chordata; Mammalia; Proboscidea; Elephantidae. The record is from Rfam by way of RNAcentral.
GCAUUGGCAGUCCCGUGGUAGAAUUCUCACCUUCCGUGCAGGAUACCCAGGUUCGAGUCCUGGCCAGUGCA